Molecule: ribosomal RNA, 406 nt
Filed under: uncultured bacterium
Lineage: Bacteria
Description: partial 16S ribosomal RNA
Rfam family: Bacterial small subunit ribosomal RNA
Source: RNAcentral
AUUGAACGCUGGCGGCAGGCCUAACACAUGCAAGUCGGGCGAGCGGCGGACGGGUGAGUAAUGUAUGGGGAUCUGCCUGAUGCAGGGGGAUAACUACUGGAAACGUUAGCUACUACCGCAUACCCUCAGAUGAACCCAUAUGGGAUUAGCUUGUAGGUGUGGUAACGUCUCACCUAGGCAACGCUCACUAGCCGGUCUGAGAGGAUGAUAGGCCACACUGGGAUGGAGACACGGCCCAGACCCCUACGGAAGGCGACAGGGGGUAAGAUUGGACAAGGGGGGAAAGCCUGAUGCGGACAUGCCGCUUGUAGGAAGAAGGCCUUCGGGUUGUAAAGUACUUUCAGUCGGGAGGCGUUACCGACAGAGGAAGCACCGGCUAACUCCGUGCCAGCAGCCGCGGUAAUUC